RNAcentral lists this ribosomal RNA (498 nucleotides) under uncultured bacterium. RNAcentral describes it as "partial 16S ribosomal RNA". It matches the Rfam family "Bacterial small subunit ribosomal RNA", at positions 28 to 507 of the family's 1533-position model. The record is from RNAcentral.
GACGAACGCUGGCGGCGUGCCUAAUACAUGCAAGUCGAACGAGAGCGCCCGGUGCUUGCACUGGUCAAUCUAGUGGCGAACGGGUGAGUAACACGUGGGUAACCUGCCCAUCAGAGGGGGAUAACAUCCGGAAACGGAUGCUAAAACCGCAUAGGUCUUCGAACCGCAUGGUUUGUAGUGGAAAAGAGGCGCAAGCUUCUGCUGAUGGAUGGACCCGCGGUGCAUUAGCUAGUUGGUGAGGUAACGGCUCACCAAGGCCGUGAUGCGUAGCCGACCUGAGAGGGUGAUCGGCCACAUUGGGACUGAGCCACGGCCCAAACUCCUACGGGAGGCAGCAGUGGGGAAUCUUCCGCAAUGGACGCAAGUCUGACGGAGCAACGCCGCGUGAGUGAAGAAGGUAUUCGGAUCGUAAAACUCUGUUGUUAGAGAAGAACAAGUGCUGGGGUAACUGUUAGCGCCUUGACGGUAUCUAACCAGAAAGCCACGGCUAACUACGUG